AACCUGGUUGAUCCUGCCAGUAGUCAUAUGCUUGUCUCAAAGACUAAGCCAUGCAUGUCUAAGUAUAAGUAUUAUACAGCGAAACUGCGAAUGGCUAAUUAAAACAGUUAUAAUUUAUUUGAUAAUCGAAUUUACAUGGAUAACCGUGGUAAUUCUAGAGCUAAUACAUGCUGGUAGGCCCGACUUUUUGGAAGGGCGGUAUUUAUUAGAUAACAAACCAAUAUUCCUCUGGUCUAUUGUGGUGAAUCAUAAUAACUGAUCGAAUCGCAAGGUUUUUAACCGCGAUAAGUCAUUUAAGUUUCUGCCCCAUCAGCUUUCGAUGGUAGUGUAUUGGACUACCAUGGCUUUUACGGGUAACGGAGGAUUAGGGUUCGAUUCCGGAGAGGGAGCCUGAGAAACGGCUGCCACAUCUAAGGAAGG
RNAcentral lists this ribosomal RNA (420 nucleotides) under uncultured marine eukaryote. Its description in RNAcentral is "SSU rRNA". It matches the Rfam family "Eukaryotic small subunit ribosomal RNA", at positions 1 to 425 of the family's 1831-position model. The record is from RNAcentral.